RNAcentral lists this long non-coding RNA (472 nucleotides) under Homo sapiens (human). Its description in RNAcentral is "HSALNT0293608". The record is from RNAcentral. Lineage: Eukaryota; Metazoa; Chordata; Mammalia; Primates; Hominidae.
GGUCUGCAGCUUCACUCUUGAAGUCAGCGAAACCGCAAACCCACCAGAAGGAAGAAACUCCGGACACAUCUGAACACCUGAAGGAACAAACCCCGGACACACCAUCUCUAAGAACUGUAACACUCACCGCCAGGGUCCGCGGCUUCAUUCUUGAAUCAGUGAGACCAAGAACCCACCAAUUCCAGACACAGAAGUUACUGAACCCCAACAUUUUGGUUUGGAGUACUCUCUUCAGAAGUGUUCAAGGUUCAAAUUGAGGUCUUCUGUUGUCAUGGAAUAACUUUCUCAACAAUGAGAAAGAGUGUGUUUUAUCCUGCAGCACGUCAGCUUCAAAGGGCUCUUACUUCAAGUGUCCAGCGCAUCAUUCUGGUAAAUUAAGAAAUCCUCGGCUUAAGAUCGUCUCUUUCAAUCACAUAUAAUGUGGGUAACUUCAUGACUAAACAUUAUAAACCAAGCCGUUUGUUUGCUUUGC